This 1744-nucleotide unclassified non-coding RNA is filed under the name Hevea brasiliensis (rubber tree). Lineage: Eukaryota; Viridiplantae; Streptophyta; Magnoliopsida; Malpighiales; Euphorbiaceae. The record is from RNAcentral.
CUCUCAUUGUUAAGUGAAAGGAAGGCAAAAAGUAGAGAGAGAGAUCGGAGUAGGUGAGGGGAGGACGGAGAGACAGGGAGUCAGGGUUUUAGAGAGAGGAAAAGUGCAAAAUGGACGGUAGGGGAGGUUGCUGCAUAGCGAGGUACGGUGGGGGUGUAUAUGAUAUGUCGAAAGUUAAUCGGAUAAUGAUGAGAUUCCGGCCGAUUGCCCCCAAACCGGCCAACGUCUGUUCAGCCUCAUGUGGGUUAUCCCCGGAGAUUAGUGAGGUCAGUCCGAGGUCUGGCAGAGGAAAGAGAAGGUUUAGCACCGCAAACGGGAAUAAUAGUAAGAGGUGUAAUAAUGGUAGCAAUACUAAGAAAAGAAAGGGUUUGAGCGAGGAGAAGGGGUAUGCGGUGGUGACUCUGCCUCUCCUACCGGAGACUCCUGACCGUAAGGACACUUCCGAAAGGGAAACACCGGUAGGCUUGUUUUCACCAAAGCAAGCAAAGAGCGUUCCAACCUGGCUUAGUUUCGAUAGCAAUGGGAAGGGUCAUGAUGGGAUGGUGAUAUCCGGAGGUUUUGCCAUGUCAGAUUAUACGGUUGUGAUGCCUCAGGUGAUGAGGGUGGUUAUUGGGUCAUGCGUAACAGUGGAAUGUAUUACGGACGCGUGGGUGGAUGCGGAUGAAUUGGGCUGUACGGACGAGGAGAGAAGGAUGAAUCUGGAGAGGGACACGUGUCCCGGGAUGAUAUCUGAUGGUUUUGGAACGAUAACGUGGACGAACGAGGCGUAUAGGAAGAUGGUAGACGGAGGAGGAGAAGGAAGAGGAGAGGUGGUGGUGUGGCUGGUGAUGAAGGAUAAAGUGCCAGUGACGGCGGCGCUAGGGAGCAAACGAGCGUUCACGUGCAGGGUGAGGGUGCUAAACCAGAGGACGUGUGGGAAUGGGAAGGAGAGAAGCUCGAUCACUGUACCAUGUGACGUGUGGAGAAUGGAGGGUGGUGGCUUUGCAUGGAGAUUAGACGUGAAGGCUGCUCUCUCUUUGGGUCUGUAAAAAUAAAAAUAAUAAUAAGCGAGAAAAGGCCGAAUUCCCCAGGCCAUCUGUCUAAGCAGGUCAUGGUAGGCUGGGUUUGCUUAUGCAAUAUUUAGCUUAUUAAUCUGAGUAACCUAUCCUUGUGGAUGAUAACGUCAAAAUUGUGAAUAUUAAGCUUUGCUGUUUUUUUACUUUCAACUACUGUUCAUUAACUUUCCCCUCGCUCCCUCCCUCUGUUUAUAUGAAUAUGGGUGUAGGUGUUUGACGUUCAGUGAUAUAGCAUUUGUAAAAAGAUGAUAAAAGCAAGUAGUUGAUUGUAAUGAUACUUAUGAAUCUAAAUGGUUGCUUUUAUUUAUUUUGGAUGGAUUGAAAAGAAAGAGAGAUUUGAAAUUGAAAUGGGAAAAGGUGUAGAAAGGUAGCUGAAAGGUGGAGGGAAUCCAGCAGGCUUCCUCUGAUUCUGACAAUUUACGCCCAGAGAACAAAUGGGGGACAUGUGUGCGCACAGCUUUUUACAUGCACCCUGAACUGUGAGUGACGGCUGCUUUAAGAAGAUGUUCGCCUGGUGGAAACUCGGACAAUCCUCUGAUGAAGCUGCUGUUUGAUUUCUUUCCUGAUUCGCAUACGAGAAAGUGGUAUGUUCUACUAGGAGGUUGUCCUUUCAAGUUCUGGCGAUCUGGAUCUGUGUUCUCGGAUGUAUGGGGUAGCUGAUUUCAUUUGUAUUUUUUUUUUAAUUUUUU